This 498-nucleotide ribosomal RNA is filed under the name uncultured bacterium. RNAcentral's name for it is "partial 16S ribosomal RNA". It matches the Rfam family "Bacterial small subunit ribosomal RNA", at positions 30 to 523 of the family's 1533-position model. The record is from RNAcentral.
AUUGAACGCUGGCGGCAUGCCUUACACAUGCAAGUCGAACGGUAACAGGUCUUCGGAUGCUGACGAGUGGCGAACGGGUGAGUAAUACAUCGGAACGUGCCUAGUAGUGGGGGAUAACUACUCGAAAGAGUGGCUAAUACCGCAUGAGAUCUACGGAUGAAAGCAGGGGAUCGCAAGACCUUGUGCUACUAGAGCGGCCGAUGGAAGAUUAGGUAGUUGGUGGGAUAAAAGCUUACCAAGCCGACGAUCUGUAGCUGGUCUGAGAGGACGAUCAGCCACACUGGGACUGAGAAACGGCCCGGACUCCUACGGGAGGCAGCAGUGGGGAAUUUUGGACAAUGGGCGCAAGCCUGAUCCAGCAAUGCCGCGUGCAGGAUGAAGGCCUUCGGGUUGUAAACUGCUUUUGUACGGAACGAAAAGCCCCGGGUUAAUACCCUGGGGUCAUGACGGUACCGUAAGAAUAAGCACCGGCUAACUACGUGCCAGCAGCCGCCGUAA